This is a non-coding RNA of Eubacterium ventriosum ATCC 27560, 106 nucleotides long. NCBI's taxonomy places the organism in Bacteria, Bacillati, Bacillota, Clostridia, Eubacteriales, Eubacteriaceae. The record is from Rfam.
UAAUUAUAACAGGGGAGCUUGUAGGCAGGCUGAGAGGAAGUAAUCAACUUCGACCCAUGAACCUGAUUUGGAUAAUGCCAACGUAGGAAGAAAUCAAUUUUAAGAU